AAAAAUUAACUUCAUCCGAUCCCUAGUCGGCAUAGUUUAUGGUUAAGACUACGACGGUAUCUGAUCGUCUUCGAUCCCCUAACUUUCGUUCUUGAUUAAUGAAAACAUCCUUGGCAAAUGCUUUCGCAGUAGUUAGUCUUCAAUAAAUCCAAGGAUUUCACCUCUGACAAUUGAAUACUAAUGCCCCCAACUAUCCCUAUUAAUCAUUACGUCAAUCCUAGAAACCAACAAAAUAGGGUCAACGUCCUAUUUCAUUAUUCCAUGCUAAUGUAUUCAAGCCUAAGCCUGCUUUAAACACUCUAAUUUUUUCAAAGUAACAGUCCUGAUUUCCUGCAACACCAAAUUAAUGACAUUACAGUUCGUCAAGAGGGAGGAAUCAGUGAGAUCAGUACAUACCAGAGGCAUGACCAACCUACUAACCCCGAAAUUCAACUACGAGCUUUUUAACUGCAACAACUUUAAUAUACGCUAUUGGAGCUGGAAUUACCGCG
RNAcentral lists this ribosomal RNA (491 nucleotides) under uncultured Glomus. RNAcentral's name for it is "partial 18S ribosomal RNA". Lineage: Eukaryota; Fungi; Glomeromycota; Glomeromycetes; Glomerales; Glomeraceae. The record is from RNAcentral.